AUACUUACCUGGCAGGGGAGAUACCAUGAUCACGAAGGUGGUUUUCCCAGGGCGAGGCUUAUCCAUUGCACGCCGGAUGUGCUGGCCCCUGAAAUUUUCCCAAAUGUGGGAAACUCGGCUGCAUAAUUUGUGGUAGUGGGGGACUAUGCUUGCGUUCUCCUCUG
This 164-nucleotide small nuclear RNA is filed under the name Echinops telfairi (small Madagascar hedgehog). Its description in RNAcentral is "U1 spliceosomal RNA (ENSETEG00000021435.1)". It matches the Rfam family "U1 spliceosomal RNA". Rfam says of the family: U1 is a small nuclear RNA (snRNA) component of the spliceosome (involved in pre-mRNA splicing). Lineage: Eukaryota; Metazoa; Chordata; Mammalia; Afrosoricida; Tenrecidae. The record is from RNAcentral.